Non-coding RNA from Empidonax traillii (willow flycatcher), 339 nucleotides. The record is from the annotation of a RefSeq genome assembly. NCBI's taxonomy places the organism in Eukaryota, Metazoa, Chordata, Aves, Passeriformes, Tyrannidae.
CCCCUGUGGCUCCUCUGCCGCCCCUCCGGCUUCACCUUCGGCGACUACACCAUGUACUGGGUGCGCCAGAGCCCCGGGAAGGGGCUGGAAUACGUUGCUGGGAUCAACUAUAAUGGUCGUUACACCGAGUACGCGCCGUCGGUGAAGGGUCGAUUCACCAUCGCCAGGGACAACGGGCAGAGCUCGGUGACGCUGCAGAUGAACAACCUCAGGGACGAGGAUUCCGCCACCUAUUUCUGUGCCAAAGCUGGUGGUGCUGGUUGGGGGGGUGCUGAUGGCAUCGACCCCUUUGUUGGGUCCCCAAAGCUCCACCCCUCACACCCAAAUCUGAACCGAUGA